This 497-nucleotide ribosomal RNA is filed under the name uncultured bacterium. RNAcentral describes it as "partial 16S ribosomal RNA". It matches the Rfam family "Bacterial small subunit ribosomal RNA", at positions 28 to 507 of the family's 1533-position model. The record is from RNAcentral.
GAUGAACGCUGGCGGCGUGCCUAAUACAUGCAAGUCGAGCGAACAGACGAGGAGCUUGCUCCUCUGACGUUAGCGGCGGACGGGUGAGUAACACGUGGAUAACCUACCUAUAAGACUGGGAUAACUUCGGGAAACCGGAGCUAAUACCGGAUAAUAUAUUGAACCGCAUGGUUCAAUAGUGAGAGACGGUUUUGCUGUCACUUAUAGAUGGAUCCGCGCCGCAUUAGCUAGUUGGUAAGGUAACGGCUUACCAAGGCGACGAUGCGUAGCCGACCUGAGAGAGUGAUCGGCCACACUGGAACGGGAACACGGUCCAGACUCCUACGGGAGGCAGCAGUAGGGAAUCUUCCGCAAUGGGCGAAAGCCUGACGGAGCAACGCCGCGUGAGUGAUGAAGGUCUUCGGAUCGUAAAACUCUGUUAUUAGGGAAGAACAAAUGUGUAAGUAACUAUGCACGUCUUGACGGUACCUAAUCAGAAAGCCACGGCUAACUACGUG